UCUGGAGACAGACCUUUGGCAGAAGACGGAAGGGAACGGGAAGCUAGGUCAUGCGCGGAGGAGGUGAUCCCAUCCCCCGUGGUCUUCCGGACCUUGCCCCCACCCUUCAAAGGUGACCAUGCUCCUCGGCUGUUGCAACCAGAGGUUUCUCUCCCCGCAGGCCCAGGGGCCCCCUGCUCGUGAAGCCGGCACAGGCAAACAUGGGAGCACACGGAAGGAUUUCAGAUGCGGGAAGCAAAGUUUGACAGAAGUAAACGGGGACAGUUGACCCCCCGGGGCAGCCGGCCCCCCACGGCCUCAGCACUUGUUAGAACGAGUUGUCAACACCACAGGCCCCUUUUGUCAGAACACCAAGGGUGACAGCAGGCAGAGGUGGUGUCGGGGACACAGCGUGAAGGCCUGAGGACAGGAAAGCCGGCCUCCACGGCGCUGUCCACCUGGGCCAGCUCCUCCUCCGUCACCUCCCGCUCCAGGGCCCGGAUGCAGCGCUCCAGCCACCUUCCGUGCUCCCUGAUGGCAUCCAGGGCGGGGCC
Molecule: long non-coding RNA, 533 nt
Organism: Leopardus geoffroyi (Geoffroy's cat)
Lineage: Eukaryota; Metazoa; Chordata; Mammalia; Carnivora; Felidae
Exons: 3
Source: RefSeq, a predicted model, not a curated record